Porphyromonas asaccharolytica DSM 20707 is the source of this 104-nucleotide non-coding RNA. Lineage: Bacteria; Pseudomonadati; Bacteroidota; Bacteroidia; Bacteroidales; Porphyromonadaceae. The record is from Rfam.
UGAUCCGGGCGAGUGCCACACGGCCAGCUCCCUGUGAAUCCCCUAGGGCUUGACCGCAGCAAGGGUAGCGGGUCGUAGCGGCGCGAUGUGGAUUGCUCGCCCUU